GAAUGAUCUUGUUACAGUGUCAUGAGGUGAGAUUACUCCUUUGCUCAUAACUGCACCUCACCCACGUCUCGGGUUAAAGGUCUAUAUCUUUACAAAUGUAGGUCCUGUAGAAUCUGGCUCCCUGAUGCUCUCCUGCAACACUUCUUUCCUCUCUGACCUUAACCUGUUACUUACACUUCUGCUCCAGCCACACUAACCUAUUUGCUGCACUUCAGACAUGCAAGAUAAUCUCUCCAAAGGUCUUUGCACUCACUCUUUCCACUGGACUAAUGUUCCUUCUGUGACCACAUAAGCCAUCCCCUCGUAGUCUUUCCUCAAAGGCAGAAAUUUUAUUUGGUGCUAUAUUUUAGCACAUAUACCAGUACCUAAAACAAAGUAGUCACUCAGAAAAAGUAUUUACACUCAGAAUGAAUAAGCCCAGUGGAGGGGUAAUGGUAUGAUGUUAAGCACUGGACCAGGGAUUGUAAAACCAGGUUUUGGAUCUUUGCAAUUACUUUAACACAUGAAUUUGGGUAAGGUACCACAUCGCUGGGUCUCACCUUCUCCAUCUAUAAAAUGAGGGCUUUGUGUAAGAUGAUUUAAAAGUUUCUUUGCAGAGGUAAGAGCUAAUAAUUUCUCAAGAUCUUGUUCAUUUUGGAGCCAAUUGUAUGGAAUCAAACUUUAAGACCACAGUUAAUUUCUUUGACCCAAAGUCUCAUAGCUAAAAGGAAUAAUAUUUUAUGUGUAAUAUUUUAUCUCCUAGUAGCCUCAGGAUAAUGCUCUUGAGCCAUAUAUCAGAAGGGGAUCUCAAUUCUGGGCAAAAACAAAGCAAGGACCACAAGAGUUUUGUGUGAACUAUGCUUUCAACAUGACCUUGCAUGUAAGAACAGGUGAGCAGACAAAAAAUAAAAUUUGUACAUUUUUCUUUUCUUUCACCUAGAACACUUUGGUAAUUUUAUCUUUGCUAUCAUCAUCAUCACCAUCAUCAUCACUGUAUUAUUGUUAAUCUCUCUCAUACACACAUACCCUCUUAUGCUUUGGAUUUAAAAGGGACUAGGUGGGAAGGAGGAAAAAUCAAAGGAGCAAAAGAAAAUAGGGCUACUGAAAUACAAAGCAAAUGCCUUAAAAUGUAUAGAAGAAAAAUGAACUUAAGAGUUAAAACAAACAUUUAAAGUAAUUAAUUCUUUGGCUUCCUGUGAUAAAAGUGACUCAGGGUCGCCCCUAAGGUAUGAAAGAUCUAGAUGGCAAACAUUUGGAGGGAAAACCUAGCUUCAGAUUUAGUUGCUUUUAGUUGAUUUUAAACAUCACCAAUUUUGGAGAUCACACAGCUGAGCAAUAGAUCAUUAGCCUUCCACUAGGUUUGCUAUGGAUUACAUCUCUGAUGAACAGGUCGUGAUAAUGGUUAUCUAAGUUACUUUUCAGGGACUUAAAGAUCAUCUUUGUUGAAGCCAUCAACUCUUCACUUGAGCCUGCAUGUGUCCAAUGGAUGACCUUUUGACAUCAGGGCCCCCAUAAACUUCAUACUCAGAUCAUUCUAAUGCCACUAAUUUCUGAACAGACUUCCUAUGAAGAGCUAUGAAGGCUGAUUACACAUGUGCACAUCCCUAAUUAUCUCAUCUCCAAUCACCUGUCCACAUAUCUUAAAUAUCCUGAUUCUUUAUGUCAUAAAUAUCCCCAAACCCCAUCCUUUGGAUGUAGAUUUGAGACUUGGGUCACCUAUCUCUAUACUUCGCCAUCUUGAAAAUAAAUUAUUGCAAAAUUCGUUGUUUCA
This 1750-nucleotide long non-coding RNA is filed under the name Marmota monax (woodchuck). Lineage: Eukaryota; Metazoa; Chordata; Mammalia; Rodentia; Sciuridae. The record is from RNAcentral.